UGGAAUAUAGUUCAGUGGUAGAACAUUUGUAUAAUGUACAAAACCCUGGGUUUGAUUCUCAGCACUGCAA
Molecule: transfer RNA, 70 nt
Filed under: Dipodomys ordii (Ord's kangaroo rat)
Lineage: Eukaryota; Metazoa; Chordata; Mammalia; Rodentia; Heteromyidae
Rfam family: tRNA
About the family: Transfer RNA (tRNA) molecules are approximately 80 nucleotides in length. Their secondary structure includes four short double-helical elements and three loops (D, anti-codon, and T loops).
Source: Rfam by way of RNAcentral